CUGUCUUCAGGUAAAUGAUCUGGAGUGUGUUUGCAUAUUGAUCAGAUGCUUCAGUGCUCUGAGAGUGUUUAUAGUGCUGUGAGUUUAACACUUCAUCACUGAGAGCUUUUCUCCAUUUUAACUGAAAGAACAACCAGCAAGAAGAUGAUGAUCAUCAACAUCUGUAUCUGGACACUCAUUCUUUCUGUUCAAGAAACUGCAGGACAAAUUUCUGUGACUCAGACUCCCUCAGCAGCAGCUGCUCAACCAGGAGAAACAGUUACUAUAAACUGUCAGACUAGCAGAGGAAUUGGAGAUCGUUCAUGGGGUUGUGGCUCCUGUCUCGCCUGGUAUCUGCAGAAACCUGGAGAAGCUCCUAAACUCCUCAUUUAUUACAUUAAUUCACGGCAGUCUGGAACUCCAUCUAGAUUCAGUGGCAAUGGAGCAGAUUAUGGAACAGAUUUCACUCUGACCAUCAGUGGAGUCCAGACUGAAGAUGCUGGACAUUAUUACUGUCAGAGUGUACACUGGAUCAGUAGUAGCUGGGUGUUCACACAGUGAUAAAGAGUCGUACAAAAACCUCGGUCAGUCAGAGUCACAGAGACUGAACUGAUCCUGCAGCUGCUCAAACACUAUCACUCACUACUGACACACAGAGACAAACACAGCAACUACACAUGAGCUCAGAACCGAGUUAGGAGUCAAAUCAGCUCCAUUAGACUGUGAUCUGUCCUGUGACAGACGGGUUUGACUCAGCUAUGCUCAGAAUCAGAGAAAACAGAGUGUGUAAAGUGAUAUCAAAGCAAACAACCAAUAAUGGCACCACAUGUUGUGUUAAUUUUGUACAUUGUAACACACUCAUAUCUCAUUUUGA
Onychostoma macrolepis is the source of this 853-nucleotide non-coding RNA. The record is from the annotation of a RefSeq genome assembly. NCBI's taxonomy places the organism in Eukaryota, Metazoa, Chordata, Actinopteri, Cypriniformes, Cyprinidae.